UAUAAGGGGAAGGGGGGGCUGAGUAGCUGCGCCACGAAAGCAUUGGAUAUUCGGCGGCGCGAGGCUCCGCAGGCCCGCUGAGAAGUCCGAGAGGAGUCCGAGGCAUUUGGAACCAGUCUGAGCCUGGGUGUCCCACUGUCUCUGAAUCAGCACCCUGGAGACCAAGGCUCUGGUACAUGUACCUUCAUGGGACAAACCACAUCCAAACACCAGGCCAGCAAAUUGAAGGAGGAAGAUCCACCCCCAAUGUGACUGACACCAACCAAUAGGCUUAUAGCCUUGGGUGGC
This is a long non-coding RNA of Octodon degus (degu), 288 nucleotides long. RefSeq lists it as uncharacterized. The record is from RefSeq and is a predicted model, not a curated record. NCBI's taxonomy places the organism in Eukaryota, Metazoa, Chordata, Mammalia, Rodentia, Octodontidae. The transcript has 3 exons.